RNAcentral lists this long non-coding RNA (1645 nucleotides) under Malus domestica (apple). RNAcentral describes it as "long non-coding RNA (MDOM_LNC013386)". The record is from RNAcentral. Lineage: Eukaryota; Viridiplantae; Streptophyta; Magnoliopsida; Rosales; Rosaceae.
UCUUGAAUUCUUUGAAACCUUUUGCAAAGUAUUCGGACUUGUGUUUAUUCAAAAUAAAUGAUAGUCCAACUGAGAGUGAUCUUCGGUGAAUGUCGUACAACAUGAGUAGUAUUAUGUUGUGCACAAGUGCCACCAACAUCUAAGUGAAUUAACCUCAACAACUUUGUGAUUCUUUCUUCCUUUCCAAAAGAAUAAAGAUUCAAACAUUUUGCCUCUAUACAAUUUUAACAAGAAGGCAUUGGAUCCGGAUCUAACAAUCCAAAGCAUCCAUCUAUGACCAACUAAUAAUUUAUGUUUUAGAGGUAUCACAACUCAGUUGGGAUUAGUCACUACCUUGCAACCUUUUGGGUUUUAAGCAUCAUUAUAUUCUAAACAGUUAACACUACCAUAUCAUCUCUACUAUAGAGAUAAUCAAUUAGAUUACAAUAAUCUAAUCAUUCAUUAAUAAAGAACAAUGUUUUGUCAAACAAAACAUUCAUCCAUCUCUCAUAGUGACGGAAUUAAGUUCCUUAAAAUUGGAAUGUAAAGACAAUCUUUGGUUUUUCUAAUUUCUUUGGUAGUUCAUAUGAGGAAGUAAGUACGAUCUACUUUCGCAGAGAUCUACAUUUGAUUCACAUUCCAAAUGUGAAGUACUUUCUCUUCUCUCAUUAAUCUUCUACUUCUUAUUAGCCACACUUUUACAACGAUUGUAAAACAUAGUUACUAAUACGGAAUCAAGCAUUCAAGUAGAAGAACCAACUGUUUUGAACUUUUCAAGAACAAUUUACAACACCUUCGAAAGGUAUGUUCUUGACACUUGCAAGACAUUUCUUGCAAAUACCCCUUCCAAUGUCCAUCAUUUCAUAAAGAAAGUUUGUUCCCUUGGAGUUAUUUCCUCUUCUUCAUUUAACUUCUCCCUUGACUACAAUAGUCAUGGUCCCUAAACUCCCACUAUCUCUUUUGAAACUUAUUUCAAUUGUGUUAUACACAUUAAAUGAUUUGGAGAGCAUGCGGUUAUUCUUCACCAUAUAGUUUGCAAUAAACUUAGUGAACCAUUUGGAUAGGGACUCAAAGGUGAAGUCCUUGCCUAGUUUCCAUCUCCUGAAGUGGUUUAUCACUUCAACAUUUAAUGAUUCAAAAUCAUCAUAAUUCCAUGUUAAUGGACUAUUUUUGUCAAUCAACCAUUAUGUUCUAAACAUGAUUACAAACUUUCAAGAUUUGUUUAAGGAAACUCUCGUUUCUUCAUACAACAAUUUGUAAGUGAAGAAUCAUGGCACAUAAAGUGUCCAUGCCUUUGUGCUUACUUCUCAAGCUCCUUGUUCAUUUAAUAAAGAAACAAGCACUAGUGUUUGCGUUAACUAAGGGUUGUUCACAGCAACUCUUAUUUCUUCAUCCAAUGAUUUGUAAUGGAAGAAUUAUGACACUAAAAGUGUCCUCUUUAUGAUAGACUUAUCUACUAAUGAUACAUUAUCAAUAGGAAGAUUGUAAGGAUGAGACUACUUAGGUACAUAUAUGAUGCGUAAAAUAAGUUAACACACAAAAUUAAACCCUCUUUUUAUCAAAUGUAGUAAAGUAUGUAAGUAGGGAUCGUUCUAGGCCGAGGAUUAUGAGGGAUUGCUAAACACUUGAAAACUGACUUAAAAACAUAAAAACAAAAUUUAAAACA